Molecule: non-coding RNA, 107 nt
Filed under: Kluyvera ascorbata
Lineage: Bacteria; Pseudomonadati; Pseudomonadota; Gammaproteobacteria; Enterobacterales; Enterobacteriaceae
Source: RNAcentral
GUGCUUAUCAUGAAGCGAUGAGCACCAUAUUGGUGCAAAUUGUGUCCAGGUGCCCUUUUUAUGCUCCGUGAAAGCGAUCACAAAGAAACUCUGCAAUACUUGUUUGC